CACGUAGUUAGCCGUGACUUCCUCGCCGGGUACCAUCACUCUGAAAGCUUUCUACUCUUUCUGCCUUUUGUCCCCGGCAACAGAGCUUUACGAUCCGAAGACCUUCCUCGCUCACGCGGCAUUGCUCGUUCAGGGUUCCCCCCAUUGACGAAAAUUCCCUACUGCUGCCUCCCGCAGGAGUCUGGGCCGUGUCUCAGUCCCAGUGUGGCCGUCCGCCCUCUCAGGCCGGCUAUGCAUCGUCGCCUUGGUGAGCCGUUACCUCUCCAACCAGCUAAUGCACCGCAGGUCCAUCUGCAUGCGGGACUCUUGUCCCCUUUUCCAAAAGAGAUGCCUCCUCUUUGCUCAUCCGGUAUCAGCUUCCGUUUCCAGAACGUUCUCCCGCUCAUGCAGGCAGGUUCCCUACGUGUUACUCACCCGUUCGCCACUCAUAUCCGAAGAUACUCCGUUCGACUUGCAUGUAUUAGGCAUGCCGCAGCCGUUCACUCCCCGA
Molecule: ribosomal RNA, 490 nt
Filed under: uncultured Allobaculum sp.
Lineage: Bacteria; Bacillati; Bacillota; Erysipelotrichia; Erysipelotrichales; Erysipelotrichaceae
Description: partial 16S ribosomal RNA
Source: RNAcentral